This 1373-nucleotide ribosomal RNA is filed under the name uncultured beta proteobacterium. Its description in RNAcentral is "bacterial SSU rRNA". It matches the Rfam family "Bacterial small subunit ribosomal RNA", at positions 29 to 1401 of the family's 1533-position model. Lineage: Bacteria; Pseudomonadati; Pseudomonadota; Betaproteobacteria. The record is from RNAcentral.
UUGAACGCUGGCGGCAUGCCUUACACAUGCAAGUCGAACGGCAGCACGGGUGCUUGCACCUGGUGGCGAGUGGCGAACGGGUGAGUAAUACAUCGGAACAUGUCCUGUAGUGGGGGAUAGCCCGGCGAAAGCCGGAUUAAUACCGCAUACGAUCUACGGAUGAAAGCGGGGGACCUUCGGGCCUCGCGCUAUAGGGUUGGCCGAUGGCUGAUUAGCUAGUUGGUGGGGUAAAGGCCUACCAAGGCGACGAUCAGUAGCUGGUCUGAGAGGACGACCAGCCACACUGGGACUGAGACACAGCCCAGACUCCUACGGGAGGCAGCAGUGGGGAAUUUUGGACAAUGGGCGAAAGCCUGAUCCAGCAAUGCCGCGUGUGUGAAGAAGGCCUUCGGGUUGUAAAGCACUUUUGUCCGGAAAGAAAUCCUUGGCUCUAAUACAGUCGGGGGAUGACGGUACCGGAAGAAUAAGCACCGGCUAACUACGUGCCAGCAGCCGCGGUAAUACGUAGGGUGCGAGCGUUAAUCGGAAUUACUGGGCGUAAAGCGUGCGCAGGCGGUUUGCUAAGACCGAUGUGAAAUCCCCGGGCUCAACCUGGGAACUGCAUUGGUGACUGGCAGGCUAGAGUAUGGCAGAGGGGGGUAGAAUUCCACGUGUAGCAGUGAAAUGCGUAGAGAUGUGGAGGAAUACCGAUGGCGAAGGCAGCCCCCUGGGCCAAUACUGACGCUCAUGCACGAAAGCGUGGGGAGCAAACAGGAUUAGAUACCCUGGUAGUCCACGCCCUAAACGAUGUCAACUAGUUGUUGGGGAUUCAUUUCCUUAGUAACGUAGCUAACGCGUGAAGUUGACCGCCUGGGGAGUACGGUCGCAAGAUUAAAACUCAAAGGAAUUGACGGGGACCCGCACAAGCGGUGGAUGAUGUGGAUUAAUUCGAUGCAACGCGAAAAACCUUACCUACCCUUGACAUGGUCGGAAUCCUGCUGAGAGGCGGGAGUGCUCGAAAGAGAACCGGCGCACAGGUGCUGCAUGGCUGUCGUCAGCUCGUGUCGUGAGAUGUUGGGUUAAGUCCCGCAACGAGCGCAACCCUUGUCCUUAGUUGCUACGCAAGAGCACUCUAAGGAGACUGCCGGUGACAAACCGGAGGAAGGUGGGGAUGACGUCAAGUCCUCAUGGCCCUUAUGGGUAGGGCUUCACACGUCAUACAAUGGUCGGAACAGAGGGUUGCCAACCCGCGAGGGGGAGCUAAUCCCAGAAAACCGAUCGUAGUCCGGAUUGCACUCUGCAACUCGAGUGCAUGAAGCUGGAAUCGCUAGUAAUCGCGGAUCAGCAUGCCGCGGUGAAUACGUUCCCGGGUCUUGUACACACCGCCCGUCAAG